This 643-nucleotide ribosomal RNA is filed under the name uncultured Serratia sp. RNAcentral's name for it is "bacterial SSU rRNA". It matches the Rfam family "Bacterial small subunit ribosomal RNA", at positions 873 to 1516 of the family's 1533-position model. The record is from RNAcentral. Lineage: Bacteria; Pseudomonadati; Pseudomonadota; Gammaproteobacteria; Enterobacterales; Yersiniaceae.
CUGGGGAGUACGGCCGCAAGGUUAAAACUCAAAUGAAUUGACGGGAGCCCGCACAAGCGGUGGAGCAUGUGGUUUAAUUCGAUGCAACGCGAAGAACCUUACCUACUCUUGACAUCCAGAGAACUUUCCAGAGAUGGAUUGGUGCCUUCGGGAACUCUGAGACAGGUGCUGCAUGGCUGUCGUCAGCUCGUGUUGUGAAAUGUUGGGUUAAGUCCCGCAACGAGCGCAACCCUUAUCCUUUGUUGCCAGCGGUUAGGCCGGGAACUCAAAGGAGACUGCCAGUGAUAAACUGGAGGAAGGUGGGGAUGACGUCAAGUCAUCAUGGCCCUUACGAGUAGGGCUACACACGUGCUACAAUGGCGCAUACAAAGAGAAGCGACCUCGCGAGAGCAAGCGGACCUCAUAAAGUGCGUCGUAGUCCGGAUUGGAGUCUGCAACUCGACUCCAUGAAGUCGGAAUCGCUAGUAAUCGUAGAUCAGAAUGCUACGGUGAAUACGUUCCCGGGCCUUGUACACACCGCCCGUCACACCAUGGGAGUGGGUUGCAAAAGAAGUAGGUAGCUUAACCUUCGGGAGGGCGCUUACCACUUUGUGAUUCAUGACUGGGGUGAAGUCGUAACAAGGUAACCAAGGGCGAAUUCCAG